GCCGGUGUGAUGGAAUGGUAGACGUGCUUGACUCAAAAUCAAGUGUCCUCUGGACGUGGGGGUUCGAGUCCCCCCACCGGCACCA
This 85-nucleotide transfer RNA is filed under the name Oscillospiraceae bacterium. RNAcentral describes it as "tRNA-Leu". It matches the Rfam family "tRNA". From Rfam's summary of the family: Transfer RNA (tRNA) molecules are approximately 80 nucleotides in length. Their secondary structure includes four short double-helical elements and three loops (D, anti-codon, and T loops). Lineage: Bacteria; Bacillati; Bacillota; Clostridia; Eubacteriales; Oscillospiraceae. The record is from RNAcentral.